This 98-nucleotide ribosomal RNA is filed under the name Treponema sp. The record is from RNAcentral. Lineage: Bacteria; Pseudomonadati; Spirochaetota; Spirochaetia; Treponematales; Treponemataceae.
GGGUGUUAUACCCGUUCCCAUUCCGAACACGGAAGUCAAGCCCCCCUACGCCGAUGAUACUGCCGUCCAAACGGUGGGAAAGUAGGAAGCCGCCAGGC